GACGAACGCUGGCGGCGUGCUUAACACAUGCAAGUCGAACGGAAAGGCCCUGCUUUUGUGGGGUGCUCGAGUGGCGAAAGGGUGAGUAACACGUGGGUAAACUGCCCUUGAAUUUGGGAUAAAUUCAGGGAAAUGGGGCUAAUACCGGGUAGGAGCUGCUGCUGCGCGGGGGGGGUUGGAAAGUUUUGGCGGUUGGGGAUGGACUGGCGGGUUAUGAGCUCGUGGGGGAGGUAGUGGCUGACCACGGCUUUGACGGGUAGCCGGCCUGCGGGGGUUACCGGCCACAUUGGUACUGAGAUACGGCGCAGGCUCCUACGGGACGCAGCAGUUGGGAGUAUUGCAGAAUGGGCGGCAGCCUGUUGCGGCAGCGCCGCGUGCGGGAGGGCGGCCUUCGGGUUGUAAACCGCUUUCGCCUGUGAUGAGGCGUGAUUGACGGUAAUGGGUAAAGAAGCACCGGCUAACUACGUG
Molecule: ribosomal RNA, 468 nt
Filed under: uncultured bacterium
Lineage: Bacteria
Description: partial 16S ribosomal RNA
Rfam family: Bacterial small subunit ribosomal RNA
Source: RNAcentral